AUGGCAUCCUCGGCAACAUCUGGCCGUGUCCUUGCGAUCAUGCUGCUCAUGGCCAUUAUCGCCGCUCUGAUGAUCAUCAACAGUCCCGUCGCAGAAUGUAGUAAGUACCCAGCUGGUGGGUUGCUCCGGAUCAGGUUGGGGUGGAUCCGAAUGGCCAUUGCUAUUUCGAUCCUUCUAGUUGUCGUUCGCCGGGUGCUCCCUGAGAGUGUGCCUGCCAUGUCACGUUCCCACGAGGAUGAAUACUUUCCUCUGUUCCAAAUAUAUUAUAUUAUUAAUUAUAAAAAUCUGAAUAAACACUUGAUAUAUUUAUAGUUAGAGGUGC
Molecule: long non-coding RNA, 322 nt
Filed under: Oryza sativa Indica Group (long-grained rice)
Lineage: Eukaryota; Viridiplantae; Streptophyta; Magnoliopsida; Poales; Poaceae
Description: lncRNA OsMH63_10G010870
Source: RNAcentral